AUUGAACGCUGGCGGCAGGCCUAACACAUGCAAGUCGAGCGGAUGACGGGAGCUUGCUCCUUGAUUCAGCGGCGGACGGGUGAGUAAUGCCUAGGAAUCUGCCUGGUAGUGGGGGACAACGUUUCGAUAGGAACGCUAAUACCGCAUACGUCCUACGGGAGAAAGCAGGGGACCUUCGGGCCUUGCGCUAUCAGAUGAGCCUAGGUCGGAUUAGCUCGUUGGUGGGGUAAUGGCUCACCAAGGCGACGAUCCGUAACUGGUCUGAGAGGAUGAGCAGUCACACUGGAACUGAGACACGGUCCAGACUCCUACGGGAGGAAGCAGUGGGGAAUAUUGGACAAUGGGCGAAAGCCUGAUCCAGCCAUGCCGCGUGUGUGAAGAAGGUCUUCGGAUUGUAAAGCACUUUAAGUUGGGAGGAAGGGCAGUAAGUUAAUACCUUGCUGUUUUGACGUUACCGACAGAAUAAGCACCGGCUAACUCUGUGCCAGCCGCCGCAGUAA
This 500-nucleotide ribosomal RNA is filed under the name uncultured bacterium. Its description in RNAcentral is "partial 16S ribosomal RNA". It matches the Rfam family "Bacterial small subunit ribosomal RNA", at positions 30 to 523 of the family's 1533-position model. The record is from RNAcentral.